GGAUGAAAGGUUCAUUGAGAAAGAAAAGAUCCAUCUACAGUUUGAACACCUAAGUGAAAAAGAGAUCAUGGAUAUUUAAUUUAACUGUGCUGAAUCAUCAAAACAAAACUUCUUGUAAGAAAAAAAAGGCACCCAGAACACUGCAGCCCACUCUCACGCCUGUAACUUCUCAGAACCUGUUAUGUUGCUGCCAGAUUCUGCC
This is a long non-coding RNA of Rhea pennata, 202 nucleotides long. RefSeq lists it as uncharacterized. NCBI's taxonomy places the organism in Eukaryota, Metazoa, Chordata, Aves, Rheiformes, Rheidae. The record is from RefSeq and is a predicted model, not a curated record. The transcript has 3 exons.